RNAcentral lists this ribosomal RNA (2904 nucleotides) under Salmonella enterica subsp. salamae. RNAcentral's name for it is "23S ribosomal RNA". It matches the Rfam family "Bacterial large subunit ribosomal RNA". The record is from RNAcentral. Lineage: Bacteria; Pseudomonadati; Pseudomonadota; Gammaproteobacteria; Enterobacterales; Enterobacteriaceae.
UUAAGCGACCAAGCGUACACGGUGGAUGCCCUGGCAGUCAGAGGCGAUGAAGGACGUGCUAAUCUGCGAUAAGCGCCGGUAAGGUGAUAUGAACCGUUAUAACCGGCGAUUUCCGAAUGGGGAAACCCAGUGUGAUUCGUCACACUAUCAUUAACUGAAUCCAUAGGUUAAUGAGGCGAACCGGGGGAACUGAAACAUCUAAGUACCCCGAGGAAAAGAAAUCAACCGAGAUUCCCCCAGUAGCGGCGAGCGAACGGGGAGGAGCCCAGAGCCUGAAUCAGCAUGUGUGUUAGUGGAAGCGUCUGGAAAGGCGCGCGAUACAGGGUGACAGCCCCGUACACAAAAGCGCAUAUGCUGUGAGCUCGAUGAGUAGGGCGGGACACGUGGUAUCCUGUCUGAAUAUGGGGGGACCAUCCUCCAAGGCUAAAUACUCCUGACUGACCGAUAGUGAACCAGUACCGUGAGGGAAAGGCGAAAAGAACCCCGGCGAGGGGAGUGAAACAGAACCUGAAACCGUGUACGUACAAGCAGUGGGAGCACAGGUUUACCUGUGUGACUGCGUACCUUUUGUAUAAUGGGUCAGCGACUUAUAUUCUGUAGCAAGGUUAACCGCAUAGGGGAGCCGAAGGGAAACCGAGUCUUAAUUGGGCGUUAAGUUGCAGGGUAUAGACCCGAAACCCGGUGAUCUAGCCAUGGGCAGGUUGAAGGUUGGGUAACACUAACUGGAGGACCGAACCGACUAAUGUUGAAAAAUUAGCGGAUGACCUGUGGCUGGGGGUGAAAGGCCAAUCAAACCGGGAGAUAGCUGGUUCUCCCCGAAAGCUAUUUAGGUAGCGCCUCGUGAACUCAUCUCCGGGGGUAGAGCACUGUUUCGGCUAGGGGGCCAUCCCGGCUUACCAACCCGAUGCAAACUGCGAAUACCGGAGAAUGUUAUCACGGGAGACACACGGCGGGUGCUAACGUCCGUCGUGAAGAGGGAAACAACCCAGACCGCCAGCUAAGGUCCCAAAGUCAUGGUUAAGUGGGAAACGAUGUGGGAAGGCCCAGACAGCCAGGAUGUUGGCUUAGAAGCAGCCAUCAUUUAAAGAAAGCGUAAUAGCUCACUGGUCGAGUCGGCCUGCGCGGAAGAUGUAACGGGGCUAAACCAUGCACCGAAGCUGCGGCAGCGACGCUUAGGCGUUGUUGGGUAGGGGAGCGUUCUGUAAGCCGUUGAAGGUGGCCUGUGAGGGUUGCUGGAGGUAUCAGAAGUGCGAAUGCUGACAUAAGUAACGAUAAAGCGGGUGAAAAGCCCGCUCGCCGGAAGACCAAGGGUUCCUGUCCAACGUUAAUCGGGGCAGGGUGAGUCGACCCCUAAGGCGAGGCCGAAAGGCGUAGUCGAUGGGAAACGGGUUAAUAUUCCCGUACUUGGUGUUACUGCGAAGGGGGGACGGAGAAGGCUAUGUUGGCCGGGCGACGGUUGUCCCGGUUUAAGCGUGUAGGCUGACUUUCCAGGCAAAUCCGGAGAGUCAAGGCUGAGGCGUGACGACGAGGCACUACGGUGCUGAAGCAACAAAUGCCCUGCUUCCAGGAAAAGCCUCUAAGCAUCAGGUAACAUCAAAUCGUACCCCAAACCGACACAGGUGGUCAGGUAGAGAAUACCAAGGCGCUUGAGAGAACUCGGGUGAAGGAACUAGGCAAAAUGGUGCCGUAACUUCGGGAGAAGGCACGCUGACAUGUAGGUGAAGCGGUUUACCCGUGGAGCUGAAGUCAGUCGAAGAUACCAGCUGGCUGCAACUGUUUAUUAAAAACACAGCACUGUGCAAACACGAAAGUGGACGUAUACGGUGUGACGCCUGCCCGGUGCCGGAAGGUUAAUUGAUGGGGUCAGCGCAAGCGAAGCUCCUGAUCGAAGCCCCGGUAAACGGCGGCCGUAACUAUAACGGUCCUAAGGUAGCGAAAUUCCUUGUCGGGUAAGUUCCGACCUGCACGAAUGGCGUAAUGAUGGCCAGGCUGUCUCCACCCGAGACUCAGUGAAAUUGAACUCGCUGUGAAGAUGCAGUGUACCCGCGGCAAGACGGAAAGACCCCGUGAACCUUUACUAUAGCUUGACACUGAACAUUGAGCCUUGAUGUGUAGGAUAGGUGGGAGGCUUUGAAGCGUGGACGCCAGUCUGCGUGGAGCCAACCUUGAAAUACCACCCUUUAAUGUUUGAUGUUCUAACGUGGACCCGUGAUCCGGGUUGCGGACAGUGUCUGGUGGGUAGUUUGACUGGGGCGGUCUCCUCCUAAAGAGUAACGGAGGAGCACGAAGGUUGGCUAAUCCUGGUCGGACAUCAGGAGGUUAGUGCAAUGGCAUAAGCCAGCUUGACUGCGAGCGUGACGGCGCGAGCAGGUGCGAAAGCAGGUCAUAGUGAUCCGGUGGUUCUGAAUGGAAGGGCCAUCGCUCAACGGAUAAAAGGUACUCCGGGGAUAACAGGCUGAUACCGCCCAAGAGUUCAUAUCGACGGCGGUGUUUGGCACCUCGAUGUCGGCUCAUCACAUCCUGGGGCUGAAGUAGGUCCCAAGGGUAUGGCUGUUCGCCAUUUAAAGUGGUACGCGAGCUGGGUUUAGAACGUCGUGAGACAGUUCGGUCCCUAUCUGCCGUGGGCGCUGGAGAAUUGAGGGGGGCUGCUCCUAGUACGAGAGGACCGGAGUGGACGCAUCACUGGUGUUCGGGUUGUCAUGCCAAUGGCACUGCCCGGUAGCUAAAUGCGGAAGAGAUAAGUGCUGAAAGCAUCUAAGCACGAAACUUGCCCCGAGAUGAGUUCUCCCUGAGACUUAGAGUCUCCUGAAGGAACGUUGAAGACGACGACGUUGAUAGGCCGGGUGUGUAAGCGCAGCGAUGCGUUGAGCUAACCGGUACUAAUGAACCGUGAGGCUUAACCUU